UGGCGGGACGGGGUGGAGGUAACGCGUGGGUAACCUGCCUCAUACAGGGGGAUAACAGUUAGAAAUAGACUACUAAUACCGCAUAAGACCACAGCACCGCAUGGUGCAGGGGUAAAAACUCCGGUGGUAUGAGAUGGACCCGCGUCUGAUUAGGUAGUUGGUGGGGUAACGGCCUACCAAGCCGACGAUCAGUAGCCGACCUGAGAGGGUGACCGGCCACAUUGGGACUGAGACACGGCCCAA
Molecule: ribosomal RNA, 243 nt
Filed under: uncultured bacterium
Lineage: Bacteria
Description: partial 16S ribosomal RNA
Rfam family: Bacterial small subunit ribosomal RNA
Source: RNAcentral